UCGAAUCCGGUGGGAGAGACUCCGGCCGCGAGCCGGGGCGCCGAAGGGGCAAGCCUCCCCGCAACCUCUCAGGCGAAGUGGACCAUCGGGUGAAG
RNAcentral lists this non-coding RNA (95 nucleotides) under Dermacoccus sp. Its description in RNAcentral is "Glycine sequence". It matches the Rfam family "Glycine riboswitch aptamer". Rfam says of the family: This family represents the bacterial glycine riboswitch. Glycine riboswitches usually consist of two metabolite-binding aptamers domains with similar structures in tandem. Lineage: Bacteria; Bacillati; Actinomycetota; Actinomycetes; Micrococcales; Dermacoccaceae. The record is from RNAcentral. RNAcentral also lists the same sequence under 1 other name.